This 119-nucleotide ribosomal RNA is filed under the name Pelobates cultripes (western spadefoot toad). Lineage: Eukaryota; Metazoa; Chordata; Amphibia; Anura; Pelobatidae. The record is from RNAcentral.
GUUUAUGGCCAUACCAGUUUGAAAGUGCCUGAUUUCGUCAGAUCUCAGAAGUCAUGCAGACUUGGGCUUGCUUAGUAAUUGUAUGGGAGACCAACUAGGAACUCAGAUUUGCGUGAAAC